Molecule: ribosomal RNA, 259 nt
Filed under: uncultured bacterium
Lineage: Bacteria
Description: partial 16S ribosomal RNA
Rfam family: Bacterial small subunit ribosomal RNA
Source: RNAcentral
GAACAUGGCUCAGGAUGAACGCUAGCUACAGGCUUAACACAUGCAAGUCGAGGGGCAUCAGGGUGUAGCAAUACACCGCUGGCGACCGGCGCACGGGUGAGUAACACGUAUCCAACCUGCCCUUUACUCGGGGAUAGCCUUUUCGAAAGAAAGAUUAAUACCCGAUGGUAUAACAUGACCUCCUGGUUUUGUUAUUAAAGAAUUUCGGUAGAGGAUGGGGAUGCGUUCCAUUAGGCAGUUGGCGGGGUAACGGCCCACC